This 466-nucleotide ribosomal RNA is filed under the name uncultured bacterium. RNAcentral describes it as "bacterial SSU rRNA". It matches the Rfam family "Bacterial small subunit ribosomal RNA", at positions 28 to 489 of the family's 1533-position model. The record is from RNAcentral.
GACGAACGCUGGCGGCGUGCUUAACACAUGCAAGUCGAGCGGUAAGGCCCUUUCGGGGGUACACGAGCGGCGAACGGGUGAGUAACACGUGGGUGACCUGCCCUCAGCUCUGGGAUAAGCCUGGGAAACCGGGUCUAAUACUGGAUAUGACUCCAUGACGCAUGUUGUGGGGUGGAAAGCCUUGUGCGGCUGAGGAUGGGCCCGCGGCCUAUCAGCUUGUUGGUGGGGGAUGGCCUACCAAGGCGACGACGGGUAGCCGGCCUGAGAGGGCGACCGGCCACACUGGGACUGAGACACGGCCCAGACUCCUACGGGAGGCAGCAGUGGGGAAUCUUCCGCAAUGGACGCAAGUCUGACGGAGCAACGCCGCGUGAGUGAUGAAGGUUUUCGGAUCGUAAAGCUCUGUUGCCCUAGACGAACAGCAAGGGGAGUAACUGCCCUUUGUGUGACGGUAUAGGAGAAGAAA